AACUUUAUAUUCAAUAAUGAUAUUAGAUUGCAAUUCUAAAGGAAUAACUUAAAGAGUUAUUAAAGUUU
RNAcentral lists this transfer RNA (68 nucleotides) under Syrphus torvus. RNAcentral's name for it is "tRNA-Cys". Lineage: Eukaryota; Metazoa; Arthropoda; Insecta; Diptera; Syrphidae. The record is from RNAcentral.